CUCGUAGGCGGUUCGUCGCGUCCAGUGUGAAAGUCCAUCGCCUAACGGUGGAUCUGCGCCGGGUACGGGCGGGCUGGAGUGCGGUAGGGGAGACUGGAAUUCCCGGUGUAACGGUGGAAUGUGUAGAUAUCGGGAAGAACACCAAUGGCGAAGGCAGGUCUCUGGGCCGUUACUGACGCUGAGGAGCGAAAGCGUGGGGAGCGAACA
This 207-nucleotide ribosomal RNA is filed under the name uncultured bacterium. Its description in RNAcentral is "partial 16S ribosomal RNA". It matches the Rfam family "Bacterial small subunit ribosomal RNA", at positions 568 to 774 of the family's 1533-position model. The record is from RNAcentral.